AGCGAACGCUGGCGGCAGGCUUAACACAUGCAAGUCGAACGGGCGUAGCAAUACGUCAGUGGCAGACGGGUGAGUAACGCGUGGGAACGUACCUUUUGGUUCGGAACAACACAGGGAAACUUGUGCUAAUACCGGAUAAGCCCUUACGGGAAGAUUUAUCGCCAAAGAUCGGCCCGCGUCUGAUUAGCUAGUUGGUGAGGUAACGGCUCACCAAGCGACGAUCAGUAGCUGGUCUGAGAGGAUGAUCAGCCACAUUGGGACUGAGACACGGCCCAAACUCCUACGGGAGGCAGCAGUGGGGAAUAUUGGACAAUGGGCGAAAGCCUGAUCCAGCCAUGCCGCGUGAGUGAUGAAGGCCCUAGGGUUGUAAAGCUCUUUUGUGCGGGAAGAUAAUGACGGUACCGCAAGAAUAAGCCCCCGGCUAACUUCGUGCCAGCAGCCGCUGU
Molecule: ribosomal RNA, 446 nt
Filed under: uncultured bacterium
Lineage: Bacteria
Description: bacterial SSU rRNA
Rfam family: Bacterial small subunit ribosomal RNA
Source: RNAcentral